GUGAAAUUUCACAAACGGCUGUAUCACCUGUGCUGGUGUGCCCUGGGUUGCAAAAUGGUCAAGUUCGGGUUGAUCAAUUCACAUCAAAAAGGACUAAGUUUAUCUUUGCACAUGAUUCUAGGAUUGCAUCUUUUGCUCUUAGUCAUGAGGGGAAUGUGCUGGCAACAGCAAGUACCAAGGGUACUCUUAUCCGGAUUUUCAGCACGCAGGAUGGUACAUUGUUACAGGAGGUAAGGAGAGGUGCUGAUAGAGCAGAAAUUCACAGUGUUUCAUUCGAUCCAGCUGCUCAGUGGCUAGCAGUCUCUAGUGACAAAGGCACAGUUCAUGUUUUUAGGCUCAAGGUCAAUCUAGGGAAUCAGGAUAAGACAAGAACUACUCCUAAUUUCCGUGGUACUUUGGCUGCAGCGAGUUCACCACUAUCCUUCAUCAAAG
RNAcentral lists this unclassified non-coding RNA (432 nucleotides) under Hevea brasiliensis (rubber tree). The record is from RNAcentral. Lineage: Eukaryota; Viridiplantae; Streptophyta; Magnoliopsida; Malpighiales; Euphorbiaceae.